This 2418-nucleotide long non-coding RNA is filed under the name Sorghum bicolor (sorghum). RNAcentral describes it as "long non-coding RNA (SBIC_LNC013749)". Lineage: Eukaryota; Viridiplantae; Streptophyta; Magnoliopsida; Poales; Poaceae. The record is from RNAcentral.
AAUCGGUAUUUAUCCAUAUUUAUCUUUUCUGCAUUCCUUUUCCUUUAUUCCAACACUUGCAUUAGCAUAUUUACUUUUCCACAUUAGCAUUAGAAAAGAAAACAAAAAUAUUUGUUCGUUGCAUUGCAUCAUAAAAUCUAAAGCCCCAUGUGAGUAGACUUGUGGUUUAAAACCCAUAGGUAUAUUGACUGUGGUGGCAUAAAAUAAAUAUGUUUUCAUCUUACAAUAAAAAUAUAAAAAUAAUAAGUGCACGAUCCUGCUAAAUAAAUAAAAUUUAUUAGGAGGAAUCUCAAUAUGAUAAAGGCUAAGAGACUUUAUGCUUACACUUAACCAGUUCCACAAAGCUUUGUUGUCUAUUUGAGGUCCAUAGAAUUAAAGGAUCAAAGAAGACUAGCCGGCAGAGGACAUAGUAAUCGCUGUCAGGGUGCUGCGGACAUUCAAAUACACCUCUGUCACCUGCUUGCUACAUCAGAAGAAAUUACGUUAAAAUCCAGCUUGGGGGAGAGCACCCCCAUUUAUCCAGCUAAGUGUUUCUACUCGCGUUUAUACUUUACUCAAAUAAUAAAAAGAUGCAUAAUCAUGAAAACCCAAAUAAAAAUUUUUGUGAAUAAAUAAAUAAAUAGUUGCUAAAUAAAUAAAUAAAGUGUCUAGGCCAAACUGAACUUAAAUGAUAAACUCUUACAUGGAUAUGAUAAAUAGUUGCUCUGCCAUGUACCUAGUUUUCAAGUUUGAGCUCUCUCUCAAGUUUAGGCAUAACUGUUGUAAUUUAAACUUGCUCUAAACCUGAACUUGUGCGAAGAGUACUUGAUCUAAAGUCUAAGUCGUUAACGUAUAUGAUAUGAAAAGGUUGAGCUGCUGUUUAUCUGUUCCUAGAGUUGCUAGAAUUCUGGAGAACAUUAUCUUUGAAAAUCUUUAAAAUAUUGCAUGAUGAGUUCCUGUAUGAUGAGAGUUUAAAAUCCUACCACAGCCAUAUAUACAUGCUUAUUAGACUAUGAACCAUAUAUUUACUUUUUACUGCUUAUGAGCAUUGAGUGUGGUCAAGUUGUGUAGACCUUUAGGAGUUUGUCAUGCGGUUAAAAUCAAGAUCCACUUGCACAUUCACUCAUACAUGCUACUUCUACUCCGGAAGUACGCAUCCACAUACAUCCACUCAAUUCCAUCUCCACAUUCACCUAAAAUUAUUCUACUCCUAUCCGGGAGAGAAUAGCCAAAAACGUUUUUCCUAUCCCUGUUAUCCCCUGUGAAAUAAAUGCUCGAGAUAUUUUGGUUACUACCACUUGCUACAUUAUUCUAGGAGGGUGAGUGCUCUGAAAAAAAAUAAAAGGAAAAAUACAAGGAAAUAAAAAGGGGCAAGUGCCCGGAACCUCGAAGAAAAGAAAAAGUGAGACGAGAGGUAAAAAUGGACAAGUGUCCGAUAGUAGAAUUAGGAGUACAAGAUACCCACCUGAGAGAAAAGAAAAAAAAUAUAGAGAGCAUCUCAUUCUCCUAAAAAAAGCUUCAAAGUGUAAGAAAGGUAUGUAUCUCCUAAAAAGAGCAAAAGUAGAAUUAGACUUUCACCAUUGUUAUCACCAUCAUCACCAUACACCAUUCACUCGCCACACAUGCACAUCUUGAUUUGACUUAUUGACUUGUUCUUCUAGAUCCAUGGUUUGACUAUGCAAUAAAUGUCUUGUAAGUAUGUAUGCUUUAUCUCCCACCUAUGAGCUCCAGAUAUCAAAACCUUAUUAGAGUAGGGUGAGAGAGAAGGCAAUAUCACUAUGCCUUGUACCAAAAAAUACCACAUACUUUGAGAGAAGGCAUAUACCAUUACUGCCUUGGAAAGGAUCCAGAAAUACCACAAAAGAGAGAGUUGAGAGAGUCAUACAAGGAAUCUCUAAGUUUUAUUUGAAAAUCUGCAAAAACUCCAGAGCUAUAGCUGAUCAAAGAACAAGAGACAUGGCGCUUGACUAGACUGUUCUAUCUUUUAACUGCUCAAGACACAAGUGACGAUUGCAAGCCCCAUGGUGAAAGGUAAAAUGAGUAAGUUUUAAGUCUUAACAGUUUACUCUAACUCAGAGAUGAGAUCUUGCUUGAACGCAUGUGUACUUUUAAGGCAUGAAACCACUGCAGAAACUCUUGAGUCCAUCCUUGCUCAGGGACGAGCAAGAAGUAAGCUUGGGGGAGUUGUUGAUGGUCCUUAAGUACCAAAUAUAAUCAUCAAAUAAAUAAAGAAAAGGAUCCAAAUGCAACCAACACCCAGACUUAGGGUUUUAUCUGGCAGAAUUCCAUGAGUUCUGGUGUUUGUCUAUUUCUGCAGGGGAUUAUCAGGAAAUAUGGAGGAAAGGCCCACACGUCGGGUUUACAUAGAGAUAUUAACGUGUGCACCAAUUUUCUAUCAUCUAGAAGAGUCCAGAAGCCAUGGGAACGAACGGGAGGCCG